RNAcentral lists this ribosomal RNA (468 nucleotides) under uncultured bacterium. RNAcentral's name for it is "partial 16S ribosomal RNA". It matches the Rfam family "Bacterial small subunit ribosomal RNA", at positions 28 to 507 of the family's 1533-position model. The record is from RNAcentral.
GACGAACGCUGGCGGCGUGCUUAACACAUGCAAGUCGAACGGAAAGGCCCUGCUUUUGUGGGGUGCUCGAGUGGCGAACGGGUGAGUAACACGUGAGUAACCUGCCCUUGACUUUGGGAUAACUUCAGGAAACUGGGGCUAAUACCGGAUAGGAGCUCCUGCUGCAUGGUGGGGGUUGGAAAGUUUCGGCGGUUGGGGAUGGACUCGCGGCUUAUCAGCUUGUUGGUGGGGUAGUGGCUUACCAAGGCUUUGACGGGUAGCCGGCCUGGGAGGGUGACCGGGGACGUUGGGGCUGAGAGACGGCCCAGACGCCUACGGGAGGCAGCAGUGGGGAAUAUUGCACAAUGGGCGGAAGCCUGAUGCAGCAACGCCGCGUGCGGGAUGACGGCCUUCGGGUUGUAAACCGCUUUCGCCUGUGACGAAGCGUGAGUGACGGUAAUGGGUAAAGAAGCACCGGCUAACUACGUG